This 439-nucleotide ribosomal RNA is filed under the name uncultured bacterium. RNAcentral describes it as "bacterial SSU rRNA". It matches the Rfam family "Bacterial small subunit ribosomal RNA", at positions 29 to 504 of the family's 1533-position model. The record is from RNAcentral.
AACGAACGCUGGCGGCAGGCCUAACACAUGCAAGUCGAACGAGAAGCCACCUUCGGGUGGUGGACAGUGGCAGACGGGUGAGUAACGCGUGGGAACGUGCCUUUCGGUUCGGGAUAACCCAGGGAAACUUGGGCUAAUACCGGAUACGCCCUCCGGGGGAAAGAUUCAUUGCCGAAAGAUCGGCCCGCGUCGGAUUAGCUAGUUGGUGGGGUAAAAGCCUACCAAGGCGACGAUCCGUAGCUGGUCUGAGAGGAUGACCAGCCACACUGGGACUGAGACACGGCCCAGACUCCUACGGGAGGCAGCAGUGGGGAAUAUUGGACAAUGGGCGCAAGCCUGAUCCAGCCAUGCCGCGUGGGUGAAGAAGGCCCUAGGGUUGUAAACCCCUUUCAGCGGGAAGAUAAUGACGGUACCCGCAGAAGAAGCCCCGGCUAACUCC